This 77-nucleotide transfer RNA is filed under the name Christensenellaceae bacterium. Its description in RNAcentral is "tRNA-Arg". It matches the Rfam family "tRNA". From Rfam's summary of the family: Transfer RNA (tRNA) molecules are approximately 80 nucleotides in length. Their secondary structure includes four short double-helical elements and three loops (D, anti-codon, and T loops). Lineage: Bacteria; Bacillati; Bacillota; Clostridia; Christensenellales; Christensenellaceae. The record is from RNAcentral.
GUACCCGUAGCGCAAUUGGAUAGAGUAACAGCCUCCGACGCUGUAGGUUGCAGGUUCGAUCCCUGUCGGGUACACCA